GAAGUGUUAAAGACAGAACCUUUUGGAUAUUAUUAAUUCAUUGGGAUCCCAUUCGUCCAAAAUUACUUGACAAUACAUUAUAACAUCAUUAGCUUUGGGAAGUACAAAUUAGAUUAGUUGCUAUUAAAAUAUGGGCUUAAUUAAUCCCACCCUCAUACCUAGAAGGAACCAGAAUGAGGAUAUGUCAUGAUCUGUGACUCUGGAAAUUCCCUGGGUCAAUUCAAAACAAAAUUCAUGCUGACGUAACCUCUUCUUGCCCAAGAUAUGAAAAUAAGCACGCAUGAGACCUAGUGUGUGAAAGAAAACCAGAAAGGUUAGACAGUUGGGAAAGCAACAAGCAUCUCUUCCUCAUUUCUCCUGCUGUCUUCUGAGCUCCUGCCAGCACCAUGAAGACGCUGAGUACCUUGGUCUUUUUCAGUCUUCUAAUGCUUUGGAUGGAGUUGCCAUAUGGAGCUGCACAAGAAACAGAAUAUCCUUCCAACUGCCCACCAGACCCUUAUGUAUGCAUUCGAGCAGAACCAAAUGAAUGCGAGAAAAACCGUGAUUGUAAAGAUAACAAGAUUUGCUGCCAAAAUACUUGUGCAAAACGCUGUGUGUAUCCAGUGAAAGGUUAAUUUCAAACUGAACCAGUAUGCAGAAGGAUAUCCUCAAAUGCAGGGAUGGCAUGGCAUGGAAUAUGGCUACAACCUCACAUACAACCUCAAUGCUCAUAAACCUGCUUGAAAAAAAAUCUGUGUAGUGCCUAUGGGUGGUUGGGGGACAAUAAAAAUAACACAAGUUUUACA
RNAcentral lists this long non-coding RNA (785 nucleotides) under Pogona vitticeps (central bearded dragon). Its description in RNAcentral is "lncRNA (ENSPVIG00000023621.1)". The record is from RNAcentral. Lineage: Eukaryota; Metazoa; Chordata; Lepidosauria; Squamata; Agamidae.